AGAAAUUGAGAAGAAAAUAUCAGAUGGUGAAAGACAAAAGAAAGAACUAGAUAAGAAGAAUGAAAAGAUGGCACAAGAGGAAUCCAAAAAGAGAGAGCAGGCAGGUUACCUGAUAUGAGUCUACACUUUGUGAAAUUAUUAUAUUUUAUCUAAUAUACUUAGAGUUUCACUGUUUCUACCAGAAACUUUCAGUGUUCAGUUUUAUAUUCUUCCCAUGUCCGCCAUUUUUUUUCUGUUAGCACAAAAAUAUUUAAUGAUUUGAGUGUUAAACUUACUCUUAGCAUUGCCUCCAAGAGUCUGAGUGUGAAAGCGUGGAUCUGCUUUUUAAAUUGUUGUCUCUUGAGUACUAAUGGGUCCCCCCCCCCAGAUGUUGUUGGACUACAAUUCCAAUAAUUCUGUGGCAGGCUAUGUCAGAGAGAGAAUUGUGGGUAUUGUAGUUCAACAACGACUUAGGUACACUGUAACUAAUUAAACUACACUUAGUAAUCAUCAUUUUUAACAUUUGUUUCUACAGAUGACCAAGGACAAUAUCCUACGGUAUAAGCUGGGAAUCCAGUCUACACAAUCUAAACAGAGAGGAGUUACAGCCUUUUCGUGAGUAUGAAAAAUACAUGAGAUUCAGCCUUUUACCUUUGCCAGACCUGAAAAGUUGAAAAAAAGGUGGUAUAUAUAAUCUCUUUCAGGACCAGGUUUAGGCAUAUGUAAUUUUAUUAUGACUGCAAGCUACUUGUCUGAUAAGCAGGGCUGCCAUCAGAAAUUUUGGGGCCCCUGACACAGCUCAAGGUCUGGGCCCCCCGGUGCCUGCACCCGAGUCCGUCCGUCCGUCCCCCUCCUGAGUCCGCCCACAGUGAUGCAGUGUCUGCAGGGCCGGUGCAAGGAUUUUUGCCGCCCUGGGCAAAAGUAAAGUUUGCCGCCCCCCAUGUGACAUCACAAUGCCCCACCCAUAUGAUCUGCCAUGUUAACUAACACAGUGCUGCCGUGUUUACAAUAAAAGGCCUGCAGGGACAGGCUAUAGACACCAGAACCACUAUAUUAAGUGGUUAACUGCAGUGGUUCUGGGGACUAUAGUGUCCCUUUAAUGUGAGGUAAAUUAUAGAUUAGUGCCACGAAUAAUAUACUAGAUUGCCUACUUACAACCAGAUGAGGAUGAUGAUGGGCUCUAGCUGCCGUCUGGCUCCACUGGUCUGGUGUACAACAGGCUCUCUGGAGGCGGUUUGUAACUGUGGUCACAAAAAUCACUGUUCUGGGAGAACGGGAAGCAGCUCCAUUUUUUGAGGGCCCUUUACACAGCUCAAGGUCUGGGUCCCAGGGUCCCCCUUUAUGUUCCACCAAUGAGUUUGUUCACAGGGGUGUGUGUGUGUGGGGGAUGUCCUGAUGUGUGUAAGGAAUGCAUUGUGUGAAUCUGUGUUUGUAUGUGUAAGGGCUGCAAGGUGAGUUUGUGUAUGUAUGGGAUGCAGUGUGCGCGUCUGUAAGGGAUGCAUUGAGUGUGUGUAAGGGGUGCAUUGUGUGUUGCUGUGUGUAAGGGAUGCAUUGCUUGUGUAUGUGUGUCUGUGUGUAAUGCAUUGUGUGUUUUUCUGUGUGCAAGGGGUGCAUUGUGUGUGUGUGUGUGUAUGUGUGUGUGUGAUGGAUGUCAAUCUCUCCCCCUACCCCCGUCAAUUUCCUUCUCCCCCCCCCUCCAAUUUCCUUCUUCUCCCUCCCCUCCAAUUUCCUUCUUCUCCCCCUCCCUCUCAUUGCCUUCUCCCCCCCUCCCUCUCAUUUCCUUCUUCUCCCCCUCCCUCUCAUUUCCUUCUUCUCCCUCUCCCUCUCAUUUCCUUCCUUCUCCCCCCUCCAAUUUCCUUCCUCCCCCCUCCAAUUUCCUUUCUCUCCCCCUCCCUCAAAUUUCCUUCCUCCCUCUCCCCCCCACUCAAAUUUCCUCCCUCCCUCUCAAAUUUCUUCCCUCCCUCUCCCCCACCCCACUCACUCUCCCUGACACCCGGCGGGCGCGCGAGGGAGCACUCUCUGUGUUUCCUCUUCAGCUCCCUCGCGCGCCACGUACUGAUGCCGGAGCCGGAAGAUGACGUCAUCUUCCGGCUCCGGCAUCAGUGCGGUGCGCGAGGGAGCUGAAGAGGAAGCACACAGAGAGUGCUCCCUCGCGCGCCGGCCCGCCGGGUGACUGCAGGGCCAGCCUCUGGGGGGCCCUGAGGUGACCGGCUGCUGGGCCCCCCAGGAGAAGAGGCUGGCCCUGUGGGUACAUACCGGGUCGCAGGGCCCCCUGCGACCCGGUAUGUACCCACUGAAUGUGGGGCCCGGACGACCUGAGCAGUCUGGGCCCAUGACAACUGUUACGGUUGUCAUGCCCUGAUGGCGGCCCUGCUGAUAAGGGAUUUAAUAAGAACUUUUAGCAGAGCAUUAACCAAUUUAUUCCCACAGAGACAAGUUGUAGAUGUAGAAAUUACCAGAACUGGUUUCAUGUGACCAUGUGAUCCCCAAAAAAUCUACAAGUCUACCACUUAUCUUUAUUAUAACAGAUUUUUUUUCUACCAAGCUUGAGCUCUCAUUGGGUCAAAUUUUGUAGCACAUUUGAAUUCCCUCUUUCUUGUUAAACAUCCCACUUUAAAUCAUUCAAAAACAGGGUUUGUGUUUGUUGGUGGUCUACUUGUCAAUCAAACACAAUAUAACACAUUCCUCUGGAUUAUUUAGUUUAGAUUGUGACAGGAUGCUUAACACAAGAAAUACACAUGAUCACACAAGACAAGAACU
This 2739-nucleotide long non-coding RNA is filed under the name Pelobates cultripes (western spadefoot toad). Lineage: Eukaryota; Metazoa; Chordata; Amphibia; Anura; Pelobatidae. The record is from RNAcentral.